RNAcentral lists this ribosomal RNA (464 nucleotides) under uncultured bacterium. Its description in RNAcentral is "partial 16S ribosomal RNA". It matches the Rfam family "Bacterial small subunit ribosomal RNA", at positions 339 to 795 of the family's 1533-position model. The record is from RNAcentral.
CUACGGGGGGCAGCAGUGGGGAAUAUUGCACAAUGGGCGCAAGCCUGAUGCAGCCAUGCCGCGUGUAUGAAGAAGGCCAUCGGGUUGUAAAGUACUUUCAGCGGGGAGGAAGGGAGUAAAGUUAAUACCUUUGCUCAUUGACGUUACCCGCAGAAGAAGCACCGGCUAACUCCGUGCCAGCAGCCGCGGUAAUACGGAGGGUGCAAGCGGUAAUCGGAAUUACUGGGCGUAAAGCGCACGCAGGCGGUUUGUUAAGUCAGAUGUGAAAUCCCCGGGCUCAACCUGGGAACUGCAUCUGAUACUGGCAAGCUUGAGUCUGGUAGAGGGGGGUAGAAUUCCAGGUGUAGCGGUGAUAUGCGUAGAGAUCUGGAGGAAUACCGGUGGCGAAGGCGGCCCCCUGGACGAAGACUGACGCUCAGGUGCGAAAGCGUGGGGAGCAAACAGGAUUAGAUACCCUGGUAGUC